Molecule: ribosomal RNA, 881 nt
Filed under: uncultured bacterium
Lineage: Bacteria
Description: bacterial SSU rRNA
Rfam family: Bacterial small subunit ribosomal RNA
Source: RNAcentral
GGCGNUCAGGAAAGUCUGGAGUAAAAGGCUAUGGCUCAACCAUAGUGUGCUCUGGAAACUGUNUGACUUGAGUGCAGAAGGGGAGAGUGGAAUUCCAUGUGUAGCGGUGAAAUGCGUAGAUAUAUGGAGGAACACCAGUGGCGAAAGCGGCUCUCUGGUCUGUCACUGACGCUGAGGCUCGAAAGCGUGGGUAGCGAACAGGAUUAGAUACCCUGGUAGUCCACGCCGUAAACGAUGAGUGCUAGGUGUUAGGCCCUUUCCGGGGCUUAGUGCCGGAGCUAACGCAAUAAGCACUCCGCCUGGGGAGUACGACCGCAAGGUUGAAACUCAAAGGAAUUGACGGGGGCCCGCACAAGCGGUGGAGCAUGUGGUUUAAUUCGAAGCAACGCGAAGAACCUUACCAGGUCUUGACAUCCCGAUGCUAUUCUUAGAGAUAGGAAGUUACUUCGGUACAUCGGAGACAGGUGGUGCAUGGUUGUCGUCAGCUCGUGUCGUGAGAUGUUGGGUUAAGUCCCGCAACGAGCGCAACCCUUAUUGUUAGUUGCCAUCAUUAAGUUGGGCACUCUAGCGAGACUGCCGGUAAUAAACCGGAGGAAGGUGGGGAUGACGUCAAAUCAUCAUGCCCCUUAUGACCUGGGCUACACACGUGCUACAAUGGUCGGUACAACGAGUUGCGAGCCGGUGACGGCAAGCUAAUCUCUGAAAGCCGAUCUCAGUUCGGAUUGGAGGCUGCAACUCGCCUCCAUGAAGUCGGAAUCGCUAGUAAUCGCGGAUCAGCACGCCGCGGUGAAUACGUUCCCGGGCCUUGUACACACCGCCCGUCACACCACGAGAGUUUGUAACACCCGAAGUCGGUGAGGUAACCUUUUAGGGGCCAGCCG